Molecule: ribosomal RNA, 1265 nt
Filed under: Triticum aestivum (bread wheat)
Lineage: Eukaryota; Viridiplantae; Streptophyta; Magnoliopsida; Poales; Poaceae
Description: partial small subunit ribosomal RNA
Source: RNAcentral
UUUGCAGGUAAUAACCCACCACCAAAGCCAUGGGAGCGUGUUGGGACUUCAUCUGGUCCAGCGCCUUUCAAACCCCCAUCUGGAGGCAGCACUAGUGACGUUGUUGAGGCCUCUGGGACAGCAAAACCUGGGGAAGUUGUUUCUGCUUCACAGAGCAAUGCUGCUUUCAACGUGAACAAUACAGUUGCAGGGCCUGUGCCCCCGCGUCCCUGGCAGCAGCAAGGAUACGGAAAUACUUAUGGGGGUUAUGGUGCCAGUACCUAUAAUUCAUAUGGUGGAUUUGGUGGGGCUUAUAGUAACGGUGGGCUAUACGGAAAUAAUAACAUGUAUUCAGGGUUUGGAGGUGGUUACGGCAGUUCAUACAGGGGCUCUGGAAUGUAUGGUGGGUCAAUGUAUAAUAACGGGAUGGGAAAUCCAUACGGUGGUAUGGGCAUGUCUCCUUACAAUCAGGGUCCUAAUUCAUUUGGUCCUCCAGCACCACCCCCAGGUUUCUGGGUGUCCUUCCUACGAGUGAUGCAUGGGAUUGUGAAUUUCUCUGGACGAGUUGCUUUCCUUAUCAGCCAGAAUACUCAGGCAUUCCACAUGUUCAUCACAGCUCUUUUGCAGCUAUGUGAUAAGUCUGGUAUGCUUUAUGGUGAGCUUGCGAGAUUCACAUUUCGAUUGCUGGGGAUCAAAACCAAACCAAAUAAGGGCAGAAUUCAGGGUGCACAAGCUCCAUCAUCGGAUGGGCCUGGCCAGCAGUUCGUUGAGGCACCAAAAGCUAGCAAGAACUCAUGGGAGAACGUCUGGAGCGGCGAUGCUAAGGGAAUGUGAGCUGCUAUAGGUGUGCAGUUACAGUGACAGGUUUUGUUAGACGAGGACAGUGAGUUUGCUUAUGGCUACGGGGAGAAAGGAAAUCUGCUGAUUUCUGUUCUGACGCAUCUGCCAUUUGAACCAGAGCGAGGAAACCAACAAAGGAGUAUGCUGGCGCUCCUCGUGAUAACGGCGUGGAAUUAUUAUCUGUUCUCGCAGUUGUUUUGGCCAACAGGCGGAGUGAUCAUGAUUAAUAAGCAAUAUCCCUUCCCUUUGGAACAGUUGCUGGGACCGAUAAAGUUCUUCAGCUCUUGCAGAGGGUAGUGCUGCUACUCGUAAGUGUUACUAGCUGCGUGGUGCGCGAAACUGGUCUGAAGUUGAAGCGCGUUGUUUCUUAUCCUCCUUGGUGCCUGACUGUCGUUUAUGCAGAGCCAUAACUCUGAACUUUUGCCUUUUGAAAACUGUAUGACACG